Molecule: ribosomal RNA, 113 nt
Filed under: Candidatus Avibacteroides excrementipullorum
Lineage: Bacteria; Pseudomonadati; Bacteroidota; Bacteroidia; Bacteroidales; Bacteroidaceae
Source: RNAcentral
UGAGGCAGUUUCAGGGCCGGUGUUCCACCUCUUCCCAUUCCGAACAGAGCAGUUAAGUCCGGCACCGCCGAUGGUACUACGCACCAAAGUGGGAGAGUAGGCAGCUGCCAUUU